This 12412-nucleotide long non-coding RNA is filed under the name Malus domestica (apple). Its description in RNAcentral is "long non-coding RNA (MDOM_LNC011679)". Lineage: Eukaryota; Viridiplantae; Streptophyta; Magnoliopsida; Rosales; Rosaceae. The record is from RNAcentral.
UAGCUUUCAAUUACAACUUAACAUUAGAAAUUGGCUUUAGUCACCACAUCUUUUCUGUCACUAAUCCUUUGUUUUUCGGUAGUUCCGUCAUUCAUCCUUUCAAAACUUGCUCCGACUUCGAAUUUCUUACAUAUAUCAAUGGGAAAUAGUGAAGCAAAACAGCAAGAACGUCGCAUGCAUUACGAAUUUCCGGCCUCUCAUCCUCCAAACACUUCACUUCCGAGCCAUGAUCAUACUCGCUAUACGAAUAGUAGCCAGGUCAAACUAACUAAUGCGUCUGGAGCUGAAGCUGGGCAGAUUGGAACGGCACAAGUGCACAAGGAAGAGAUGAAUUUGGAAGACAAUGAUGCAUUUUCUGACUACAUUAACCGCACGAAAUUUAAGAUCAGAGCUACGACCUCCAAUAUUGAUCCCGAGAAUGUUGCAUCCACAGCAGAUGGUGUUUAUGAAACAGAGCAAGAAGAUAAUGAGUAUGAAAUGUUUACGGAUUUUGUCAACCACUCUAAGUUUAAGAUUAGAAAGACAUCCAGCAUCGGAAGUAGAAACAACAUCUCCUUUAAGAAGUAGGAGACUGAAAUUCUGCAACCAUAUGUGUUCUGGUGAUUGCCGGCAUAUUUAUGGAUUGUGUUCUCCCUCUUUAAUUCUUUUAUCAUAUUUACGUCCUGGAUACACAGGUUAUGUAAUGUUGUUGAAUAGUCCUCUAUGUAUUUCUCAGUCAAUGAUAUCGAAUCAUUCUUUUUCAUGUGUUUCUAGAGCCCAUUUGCUAAAAGUGUGACUUAUAUGCAUUGCAGCAAGCUUCCUUGACAAUUGGAAUCUGUUUCUUUACCUCUUCGAAAGGCGAUAGUUUAAAAGGCGAGACUCCUUUGCAUAGCUAGCUAAGCAAAGAUAGAUGUUUGGAAAAAGCUCAACCAUGAAGUGCUUCUGCAUCUCAAUUUUUGUACGCGCUAAUUGGACCGAGAUAAAACAAAACAAAUCCAACCUAUGUUACAUAUGCAGGGUUUAUUCAAUUCAGGCAAUAAAACAUCUAAAUAAUAUUCUAGUUGGUACGCACUUGCUGGAUCCCACUUUUAUGAAAAAAUUAUGGGCUAAGAAGCUGGGAAUAUGAUUCCCAUACAUCACUUCAAUUGAAGAAAUUUCUCCCUUAUGAGCAAUUUUUUGCUAUUCAGCCAUAGUGGGUUUCCCUUCAUUUCUGUGUGUAUCUUUCAGUUUUCGACCAAGGAUCGCAAGGACAUGCUCUCGAGAUUUCUCUUUACCUCAUCUCUUAAACUUAGUACAAGCUUGCUAUCAAUUUAAUUUCUAACAUAAUAAUGGGAAAGAGUUAUAGCAUAGCAGAUGCUGGAGCACCGCAGCAUUUGUUGGUUGGUUGGAUAGUACAGAGACCUUGACAAUGCUUUGUGGUUGGUUUGCAGAUUUUCAUGGCAGAUGCUGGAGCACCGCAGCCGACACCGUGAAUUGGUCAAUGACAGACUAGUUUCUUUAGGGCAGUUGUAUCGUUAUACUGUGGGUUCACUUUUGAAACUUUGACUUUGAACUAGUAAAUGUCAGAUUUUCGGUAGGCUGGUUAACCGUAGGGUUUCUGAAUUCGUGUUGUUCUUAAUUAAUGGAUAUGCUCUUAUUAGUAGCUUGGCACAUUGUGUUCAUGUUGAUGCAUUCAGGAGGAGCCGUUACAGCACAUAGCAACUAGCAUGGAAGAAAAAGUACAAAAAUGAAUGCGACUGGAAAAUGACAAUAAAAUAUGUUUUAUGUUGAAAUACGAUGACUUUUAGCAAUUUUUGUUAAAAUGCGAAUUUUUACCACUUAUUGAGUCUAUAUAGCAUUUUUUUUAAUACAAAAUUUUAAAGUUGAAGGAUAAAAGAAUCGAUACGAAAAUUCUAGCAAGUCAUAAAACAUCUUUGCAAAAUGUGGAGAAUGAUUACCUUUCUACACAGCAUAUAGUGAGUGAGGAACGUACAAGAGAAAUGCAAGAGGAGAAGGUAGCUCACAUUCCUCGUAAUGUCUUGAAUGAAUUUUAAAAAGUUUAGUGACACAAAAAUACCACAAAAAUUACAAAAUAAGUUUAGUUUUCCUAAUUAAAUCACAAUAUGGUGUAUGCAGAACUUCGCUAAACUGAUUAAAAACACUCACUGAUUUUGAGAAAAAUUUAAUAAACCAUGAGAUUAAUGAAAUAACCUAGAAGUUUUUUUUUAUCGAAUAGACUUUCUAUCAUCUUGAACUUCUCCACAAAAAGACUGCUGUCGUAGAAUUUCGCAAAAUUGAUUAAAAACGGGAAUUAUUUUUUACAGAUUUUUUGUGCAAAUAUUUCUUACAAAUUUUGUGAAAGGUACAGAAGGACAUUAUAGUUUUGGCAGCUUUUCAAGGAAAUGUUUUUAGUAAAAUCAAGUUGGAUUGCUUAUUUUCCUUGUGUUAUUUGGUAGAUGAAUGCAUUAAAUAGGUUGGUUGUUUCCCACCAGAAAUCCAUGAUGCUUGUUUUAGACUUUGAACUAUAAAAACAAUGGAUUAAAGGGAAAUUUUAUUUGAACCAUGUAACCUCUUUUUACACCCAACUUAAAUUUAAAUUAUUAAUUGUCUAUUUUACCCUUUUGCAUAAUUACUAUUAAGUACAAAAUGAAAUUAAUAAUAAAACUCAAAUUUAUCAAUAAACCCAUUAAACCCUUCCAUCAGUUCUUGUUUAUCAUACGUUCAUUCUAGCUAAAACCCUAAUAGGUCUUGUAGAGAAAAACAAGUUUUUUUUUAUUGAUGGAUGGUGAUUUUGUAGUUUUGAAUCCUCCAACUAAGGUAUGACUCAAUUUAUGAAUAUUUUGUUUGUUUGAUUUCAAUUUUUUUAAAGUUUAGAAGAUGAGUAUUUGGGUUUCAAUUUUUUCAUCAAUCCCGAAUGGUUUGUUAAACUUUUUGCAAUUGGAAAAUUCUAAGAAAAACUUCUUACUAAUGUUCUUAGAUUAUAAACUUCCUUACUUGUUGAUAAAUAGAAGGGGAUGAAUUGUUUGAUUUGUUGCUUAUGCACAUUAGUAGAAAGAAAAAAGGCAAAUAUCUGGCUUUGGUAGCAGAAAGAAAAAAAAAAAGUAGUCAUGGAAAUGCUAGUGGGAAGAGGGGGUGGGGCAAGGACACCUUUUUAAAAAUAAAAAAUAAAAACAAUUCAAUUACAGAUGUUAUUUUAUAAAGGAAAUGGGUGUAAAGAUAACUUAACAUUUUGAAUUGGGUUUGAUAGGGUAGUUUAGGUAAUAAAUUUGGGUUUAAAGAGAGAUUAAUUCUUCAAUAAAAAACAAUAUGGGUGAAGAGAGUAAAUUGGGUGUGGAAAGAGGUUACAUGGGUUCAAAUAAAAUUUCCCUUAUUAUAUUAGCAUAUUCAUAAUUAUUUUUAAAGGUCGCCAAUUUGGAAGAGCUAGGGUUUCUGUAUGUGCCAAAGUUUCAUUCUUACCAUACUAUAUUCUCUAUGCUUUUUACCUAAACUUUUCGUUGCUUUUGGAAGCUAAUUAAUUAAUUAUGCUUUGAUAUAAUGUUAAUAUAUAGCAUAAUCCCUUCAAAUGCUAGUUGUUUAGUGCUGUGUAUAUAAGUUGUGUUUAAAGCAGGAUUUUAAUUUCAAAACCAAGGACAAUUGGAGCUGAAAUAUCGUGAGAAUAUUUUCCAAACAUCUCAUCCUUUAGAAAGAAAAAAAAUAAUGAGAAAGAAGUUCUUCCUUCAUUAGGAAUCUAAACCAAACUUCUCCCUUUAUUUAUGCAGAAAAAUCAAUUACUAAUUUCCACACAAGGAAUUUUCUCCUUAAAUUCUCAUUCAUGCAGACUAUAAAUAUCGACCACUCUAGCUUCAAUUACAACUUAACCUUAGAAAUUGUCUCUAGUCACCUAUUGGAAGCAACUUUGUGUCAAUCACAACUUUGUGUCAAUCAACUUUGUGUCAAUCACAACUUUGUGUCAAUCAACUUUGCGUCAACUUUGUGUCAAUCAACUUUGUGUCAACUCCUUAAUUCAAGGAGCUUGUCUUCCCUAAACCAUUUGGUCGGUUGUCUUCCCUAAGCCACCUUUGUGGUGUAAAUCAAGGGGUCAAUCUCCUUAUAUAUUGUUGUACAAUUGUAAUGAUAUUAUGAUGAAAAUACAAAACAUACUUUGAAAAUCAACAUGGUAUCAGAGCAGGAAAUCUAACCUGCCUCUGCUCUACUACUAUCUGAGGGUGUUCAAUCUUCAAAAUGACUGAAGACAAUUCGUUAGGAUCAGAAGUUGAAAGUUCACAUGUGAUUUCCUCCAUGACUGUGCAUGAGGUGGAUGUCAACCCAAAUCAAAGAUUAAGCUUAGUUGUGUUGAAUGAGUUUAAUUACUUGCCUUGGUCGAGAGCAGUGUCUCUGGCUCUAGGUGGAAGAUCCAAGUUAGUGUUCAUAAAUGGAAGCAUCAAAGUACCUGAUGCUUCCUCACCAACCUAUGAAUCCUGGCUUAGCAAGGAUCAUCUAGUUAUGUCAUGGCUCUUGAAUUCCAUGGAACGGAAAUUAGCUUAAAUAUUUAGUUACUCUGAAUCUUCAUACCAGCUAUGGGAGGCGGUCAAGGAAAUGUAUGGCAGCCAGAACAAUGUUGCAAGGGUUUUCCAAUUAAAGAAGGACAUCUCCGAUCUGCAACAAAACGGCAAGCUGUUUGUGCAACUCCUAGGAAGCAUGAAAAGCAUGUGGAAUGAGUUGGAAAUUUAUCGCCCUCAUACAACCGACGCAGCACUGCUACGAAAGAGAGCAGAAGAAGACAAGAUAUUUCAACUCUUAUCCAGUCUCGAUUCAACGUAUGAAGAUCUACAAUGUCACAUACUCAUGAACAAUGAACUUCCUUCCUUCACCAGUGUAUGUGCAACAAUCCAACGUGAAAAAGUAAGGAGGAAAGUUAAAAUCAUGGGUAUAAUGGCCAGUGUACCUGAGGCUAGGGCCUAUUUAACCAACAAGAGAAAGUACAAAGGAAAGCAUCUAAACUUGAAGUGUCAACACUGCAACAAUAUAGGUCAUGUUAAAGACACAUGCUGGAUUUUACACCCAGAAUUAAAGCCUGACUUCAUGAAGGACAACAAGGGUUUACAAAGGGUGAAUCGUACUACACCGCGCAAAUCAUGCGUCUGCCUCUAACUCUGAUAAAUUCAAGAACUUCACAGCGAAUCCAGCUGAACUCAUGAAUGAGUUUAUGUUUUACCUUUAAGGCAAGAAAGGAGGGGCUGGAAUUGACCGUGCAGACAACAUAGCAGAAGGGAACACGACGGCAUUGCUUGGCAAGUUUGCGGGUUUCUUGGCAGACACGAAACCCGUACCCCAAGAGAACAUGCAAGGUAUCAUGAAAGCCUUUAAAACUACUCUUAAAAUAAAUUUGUUGCAUGAUUUUUGGGUUUUAGAUUCGGGUGCCACAAAUCAUAUGACUAACCAUGUGUCUAAGUCUCAAAAGUUUGAAAAAUUCACUAAUCCUUCCCAAGUUUCAAUUGCAAAUGGUGAGAGUGUAAAGGUUUUAGGAAAGGAAAAAAUAAAAAUAAUGUCAGAUGAAAUUGAAUCAAUGGCUUUGUAUGUACCUUCCUUCCCAUUUCAACUUCUAUCUGUGGGAAAGAUUACAAAUACCUUGAAUUGCUUAGCUAUAUUUUCUCCUCACAAUGUCAUCUUUCAGGACUGUGCCACCAAGAAGACGAUUGGUGAAGGGUUUUAUUUAGAAGGUCUCUAUUACAUAUCAAAAGCAAUCCCAGAGGGUUCCAAGCCAAGUUCAAUCCCAUUCAAGAUAAUCAAUUGUGGCAUCAACGUUUAGCUCACCCUUCUCCACCCAUUUUGUCAACUUUAUUUCCAAACUUAGGGAAUGAUGCUAUUUCAUGUGAAACAUGCCACUUGUCUAAGGCCACUAGAUUAUCUUUUAACUCUUCCUUGUCCAGGGCUAGUAAGUGUUUUGAACUAGUUCAUUCAAAUGUAUGGGGACCAACUAGUGAAUCUUUUGAUGGUUAUAAGUAUUUUGUGAUCUUUGUUGAUGAUUUCUCUCGAGUCACAUGGUUGUAUCUUCUAAAGUCUAAGAAUGAAGUUAUGGAAGUAUUUAAGGACUUUCAUAACCUUGUUAAAAACCAUUUCUCCUCUCAAAUUCAAACAUUAAGGUCUGACAAUGGCACCAAAUAUAUGUCCCAUAUCAUGAAACAAUAUUUAAGCACUCAUGGCAUCAUGCAUCAAACAAGUUGUGUUGGCACACCUCAACCAAAUGGUGUAGCCGAACGCAAAAACCGUGACUUACUUGAAAAAACAAGAGCACUAAUGCUACAAAUGAAUAUACCAAAGAAAUUUUGGUCCCAAGGGGUUAUGGCAUUUGCUUAUAUCAUCAAUAGAUUACCCAGUCGAGUCUUGGAUUUCAAGUCUCCCCUAGAGGUCAUGAAAGGAAGUAAAAUUGAUCUCUUACACCUUCGAGUUUUUGGCUGCAUCUGUUUUGUGCAUAUUCAAUCUCAUCACCGAGAUAAAUUGGAUCCUAGAGUUGUUAAAUAUAAUUUUCUUGGUUAUUCAUCUACACAAAAGGGAUAUAAGUGUUAUAAUCCUCAACUAAGAAGAUUGAUUGUGUCCAAAGAUGUUCGAUUCCAUGAAACUAAUCCUUUUUUCAGCAAGUCACAUGAAAUCACAAGUCAAGCGGAUGACAUCUUGGAUAUGUUCUCACUACCAAGAAUCGAACUUGAGGCUCCUCAACAACAAGAUCCCAGUCAUGUCAACAUUGAUGCAUAUCUCAAUGAAAGUAGCAAUGAAGGGUCUCACUCUAAUGGUACACGGCAUGAAGAUGGUGAUAAUUAAGAUGACCCUCACAAUACGGUCCAAAAUGUGAACGAGUGUGAGACAACUCUUCCUGCUCCUCGACGCAAUCCAAUGCGUGUUAGGAAAACUCCCACAAGACUUCAAGACUUUGUCAUCUACAAACCCACACAUCCCAUCUCCCAAUAUGUGUCGUACAAGAGAGUGACACCAGCCCAUGCUGCAUUCCUAAACACCAUAUCAAGUUACAAGGAGCCUCAUAUUUUCCAUGAGGCCAACAACCAAGAGGUUUGGAAGGAAGCAAUGCAAGAAGAACUUAAAGCUCUAGAUCAACACAACACCUGGAGUAUCACCAAACUUCCCAUAGGCAAGAAAGUUGUGGGUUGCAAAUGGAUUUAUAAACUCAAAUUCAAGUCAGAUGGAUCAAUUGAAAGACAUAAAGCAAGAUUGGUAGCUCAGGGAUUCACUCAAACAUACGAGGUGGAUUACAAAGAAACGUUUGCACCUGUUGCCAAAAUGAACACCGUGAGAGUGCUAUUGUCCGUGGCAGUAAACAAAGGGUGGUCCAUGUACCAAAUGGAUGUGAAGAAUGCAUUCUUGCACGGAGAUCUCAAAGAAGAGGUCUAUAUGAAAUUGCCACCAGGGCAUCCUCAAAGCAAUGAACCGAAUUUGGUGUGCAAAUUGCACAAAUCCAUUUAUGGCCUGAAACAAUCUCCACGAGCAUUGUAUGCCAAACUAAGCUCAGUUCUCACUAGUGUUGGUUUCAUAAGCAGCAAUGCCGAUUCAUCACUAUUUGUUCGCACAUAAGCUGUGGGCAAAUUGGUUGUGCUGAUCUAUGUUGAUGAUCUGAUAAUUACGGGUGAUAAUGCUGACGAGAUCCUCAACCUCAAACAGUCCCUCAAACAAAGGUUUGCAAUUAAAGACCUUGGGAUAUUGAAGUACUUCCUUGGUAUAGAAGUGGUAACCUCGCACAAGGGGCUGUUUCUUAACCAAAGAAAGUAUGUCUUGGAUUUGCUCAAGGAAGCCAACAUGAGCGAUGCUAAACCGGCCAUUACUCCUCUCGACAGCAAGCAUAAACCUAGCUUGAAGGCCACGCCACUCACGGAUAUCAGCCAUUAUCAGCGAUUGGUGGGUAAGUUAAUCUACCUAACAAUCACUAGACCCGACAUCACAUAUUAUGUAAGUCUUGUGAGCCAAUUCAUGCACUCCCCGACUCUUGAGCAUUUGACCCUUGUUAAAAGGAUCUUACGCUACUUAAAAUGAUCGGUGGGUCGUGGAAUCCUUAUGUAGAAGAAUGACAACACACAAAUCAUGGGAUAUUGUGAUGUUGAUUGGGCGGGGAAUGCCAUCGAUCGCAAGUCCACAACUGGCUACUGUACUUUUGUCGGUGGAAACUUGGUCACAUGGAAAAGUAAAAAGCAAACUGUUAUAGCCAGGUUAAGUGCCGAAGCUGAGUAUCGUGCCAUGGCUUCAACUGCGUGUGAGUUGAUCUGGCUCAAGGGGCUUUUGUGCGAUUUAGGUGUUCCUACAACUCUUCCUAUGUCCUUAUUUUGUGACAAUCAGGCAGCCAUGCGUAUAGCAUCAAACCCAGUGUUUCAUGAGUGGACGAAACACAUUGAAGUUGACUGCCAUUACGUUCGAGAACAGGUGCAGUCGCAGGUGAUUCAGACACACUAUACAAGAAGCUUCGACCAACUGGCCGACAUCUUCACAAAGCCUUUGGCUUCUCAUCAGUUUCAGCGACUUCUGUCCAAGCUUGGAUCCAUAAACCUCCUGGAUCUAGCUUGAGGGGGCGUAUUGGAAGCAAUUUUGUGUCAAUCACAACUUUGUGUCAAUCAACUUUGUGUCAAUCAACCUUGUGUCAACUUUGUGUCAAUCAACUUUGUGUCAACUCCUUAAUUCAAGGAGCUUGUCUUCCCUAAACCAUUUGGUCGGUUGUCUUCCCUAAGCCACCUUUGUGGUGUAAAUCAAGAGGUCAAUCUCCUUAUAUAUUGUUGUACAAUUGUAAUGAUAUUAUGAUGAAAAUACAAAACAUACUUUGAAAAUCAAUAUCACCACAUCUUUUCCCUCACUAAUCUGUUGUUUUUCUGUGAACUCAUUUUCCAAAACUUGCUCCGUUUUCGAAUUUCUUACAAAUAUCAAUGGGAAAUAGUCAAGCAAAACAGCAAGAACGCCGCAAGCAUUACGAAUUUCCGGCCUCUCAUUCUCCAAACACUUCACUUCUGAGCCAUGAUCAUACUCGCUAUUCGAAUAGUAUCCAGGUCAAACUAACUAAUGUGUCUGGAGAUGAAGCUGUGCAGACUGGAACUGCACGAGUGCACAAGGGGGAGAUGAGAAUGGAAGGCAAUGAUGCAUUUUCUGACUACAUUAAUCGCACGAAAUUUAAGAUCAGACCUACGACCUCCAAUGUUGGUCUCGAGAAGGUUGCAUCCAUAGCAAAUGGUGUUUGUGAAACAAAGCAAGAAGAUAAUGAAUAUGAAAUGUUUACGGAUUUUGUCAAUCGCUCUAAGUUUAAGAUUAGAAAGACAUCCAGCAUCGGGAGCAGAAACAACAUCUCCUUUAAGAAGUAGGAGACCCAAAUUCUGCAACCACAUGAGUGGUGGUGAUUGCCGGCAUGUUCAUGGAUUAUGUUCUCCCUCUUUAAUUCUUUCUCAUAUUUACGUCCUGGAUACACAGGUUAUAUGAUGUUGUUGAUAAUAUAACGUGUAUGUAUUUCUCAGUCAAUAAUAUUAAAUCAUUCUUCUUUCAUGUGUUUCUAGAGCCCAUUAUAAAUAUGCUAUUUUCGAGCAAUCUUAGCGAAUGCAGGUAACGAUGAUGUUAGAAUGAAAAAAUAUCCCAUCAGUUUACCCACGUAAUUAGGGAUCUUUAAUACAUACGCCUAUAAAUCAUAGGACAGAGAUGAGGAGAUCCAUCCAUGAGAGGGUGACAAUUGUUCUCUGAGAUGAUAGUCUGUAGGUUCCAUCUUAGGAGAAAUUUUUAGUUGUGAUGGGAAUACAGAUGGUACAUCACGUGUUUUUAUGUAAGCGGUGAAAGUUUUUAAUUUUUAAGUUAUUAACAUUUUAACACACAUAUCCCACCAUUUAUAUAAAGACACAUGGUGUACCACCUCAUGUGACGGUCAUACUGAAAAAUCCCUUCCAUCUUAAGACUGCUACUGUAAAAUUUCCUUAGUAAUGACACGAUGAUUGGCAUACGGUUACUAAGAAAACAUCUUUCUAGAAAGAAAAUCUUCUCUGUAGAAUAAAGUUAAAAUGUCUUUUUCCCUUUCACAAUUUUCCAUGCGUUCUAGAUCACAGAAUUUACUCAUUUAGUAGAUAUUGUUUGUUGAGAACAGCGAAUUUAAUGGACAUGCUAUUAUUAGUAGCUUGGCACAUUGUUUUCCAGUUGAUGCGUUCAGGAGAAACCGUUACAGUUUUAGCAUGAAGCAUUCUAGCAUGGAAGAAAAGGAACAAAAAAAUGCAUCUGGAAAAUCACAUUAAGAUAUGUUUUAUGUUGAAAUACGAUGUCGAGUAUUUGCAAGGUUAUGUUAAAAUAUGAAUUUUAUCAUAUAUUGAGUCUAAAAAGGGUGACUUAAGCCAACAAGGCUCACAUGACAUAAUGAGUGGGGAAGGUACAAAGGAAAAGGCAAGAUGAGAAGAUAGCUAGCAUUCCUCGUAAUGUAUUGAAUGAAUUUUAAAAAGUUUAGUGAUGCAAAAAUACCACAAAAACUAUAAAAUAAGUUAGUUUUCCUAAUAUUUUUUUUUUGUUGAAAUUUUCCUAAAUUACAAUAAUGCAUAUAUGCAGAACUUUGCUAAACUGAUUAGAAGGACUCGCUGAUUUUGAUAAAAAUGUAAGGGCAACUUACACUUUACAACCUCAGGUUUAGGGUCUAUAACUGUAUACAACAUCUUCAAAACGCAUUCAAUGCCAUACAUCAACUACAAUUUUAUUUCAAUAUAAUACCUCCAUUAGAUUUUCAUCCAAUCCUCCAUUAAAAGCUAACGUGGCAGCAUGAUGUCUACUGUCAUGUCAACUUUUAAUGGAGGAUUGGAUGGAAAACCUAAUGGAUGUAUUAUAUUGAAAUAAAACAGUACAUGAUGUGUGAGAGUGAAAUAUUUUAAAGAUGUUGUAUAAGGUUGCAAUAGACCCCAAACCUGAAAAGAUAGAGUGUAAUUUAGCCAACAUGUAAUAAACCAUGCUAUUAAUAAAAUAACCCAUAAGUAUUUUUUUAUUAAAUUCAAAUUGGAAAAAAAGAAAAAUCCAAUAAAAUAAAAUAAUAGCAGGGAUCAUAUAACAUAGCCAUAGGACUUCCGUCAUCUUGAACAUCACCACAAUUUUCUUUGUGUGAUUUAGCAGAUGAAUACAUUGAAUCGUUUGGUUGUUUCCCACCAGAAAUCCAUCCUGCUUGUUUAAGAUUUUGAACUAUUAAACAAUGGAUUAUUAAUAUCCAAGGUCGCCAAUUUGGAAGAGCGAGGGUUUCUCCAUGUGCCAAAGUUUCAUUUUUCAACUACCAUCCAAGAUUCUCUAUCUUUCCUGCAUCAACUUUUCAUUGCUUUUGGAAAUUAAUUAAUUAAUUAAGCUUUGAUAUAAUUUUAAUAAAUAGCUGGCCAAGAUAUUAAUUACAUAAUCCUUUUCAAUUGCUACUUUGCUAGUGGCUUAGUGCUGUAUUAAUUAGUUGUGUUUAAAGCAGGAUUUAAUUUCAAAACCUUAGAAAAUUGGAGCCGAAAUAACGUGGGAAUAUUUUCGAAACAUCACAUUCUUUAGAAAAAAAUAUUGAGAAAGUUCUUCCUUCAUUAGGAAUCUAAGCCAAACUUCUCCCUUCAAUUCUGCAGAAAAAUCAAUUACUUUCCACACAAGGAACUUUCUCCUUAAACUUUCAUUCAUGCAGACUAUAAAUAUCGACCUCUCUAGCUUUCAAUUACAACUUAACCUUGGAAAUUGUCUUUAGUCACCACAUCUUUUCCCGCACUAAUCGGUUAUUUCUCUGUAGUUCCGUCACUCAUAUUUCCAAAACUUGCUCAGUUUUUCGAAUUUCUUACAUAUAUCAAUGGGAAAUAGUCAAGCAAAACAGCAAGCACGCCGCAAGCAAUUCGAAUUUCCCGCCUCUACUGCUCCAAACACUUCACUUCCGAGCCAUGAUCAUACUCGCUAUUCGAAUAAUAUCCAGGUCAAACUAACCGAUGUGUCUGGAGCUGAAGCUGCGCAGACUAGAACGGCACAAGUGCACGAGGUAGAGAUGAGAAUGGAAGACAAUGAUGCAUUUUCUGACUACAUUAACCGCACAAAAUAUAAGAUCAGAGCUACGACCUCCAAUGCUGGUCUCGAGAAGGUUGCAUCCAUAGCAGAUGGUGUUUAUGAAACAAAGCAAGACGAUAAUGGAUAUGAAAUGUUUACGGAUUUUGUCAAUCGCUCUAAGUUUAAGAUUAGAAAGACAUCCAGCAUCGGAAGCAGAAACAACAUCUCCUUUAAGAAAUAGGAGACUCAAAUUCUACAACCACAUGUGUGUGGUGGUGAUUGCAAUCAUGUUCAUGGAUUGUGUUCUCCCUCUUUAAUUCUUUCUCAUAUUUACCUCCCGGAAUAAACAAGUUAUGUGAUGUUGUUGAAUUGUCAUGUACGUAUUUCUCAGUCAAUAAUAUUAAAUCAUUCUUUUUUCAUAUGUUUCUAAAGCUCAUGUGCUAUUAUAAAUCUACUAUUUUCUAGCAAUCUUAGUGAAUGCAGG